GAUGAAGAACGUAGCAAAAUGCGAUAAGUAAUGUGAAUUGCAGAAUUCAGUGAAUCAUCGAAUCUUUGAACGCACAUUGCGCCCGCCAGUAUUCUGGCGGGCAUGCCUGUUCGAGCGUCAUUUCAACCCUUAAGCACAGCUUGGUGUUGGGACUCGCGUUAAUUCGCGUUCCUCAAAUUGAUUGGCGGUCACGUCGAGCUUCCAUAGCCUAGUAGUAAAACCCUCGUUACUGGUAAUCGUCGCGGCCACGCCGUUAAACCCCAACUUCUGAAUGUUGACCUCGGAUCAGGUAGGAAUACCCGCUGAACUUAAGCAUAUCAAUAAGCGGAGGA
This 332-nucleotide unclassified non-coding RNA is filed under the name soil metagenome. RNAcentral's name for it is "partial contains 5.8S ribosomal RNA, internal transcribed spacer 2, and large subunit ribosomal RNA". The stretch from base 1 to 120 matches the Rfam family "5.8S ribosomal RNA", at positions 35 to 154 of the family's 154-position model. The record is from RNAcentral.